CUGAGUCACCACAGCAGCCGCCUUGUGAUGGAUGUAGCCCGCAGGCGGAUCCAGCCGCCUCGAAACAGGGCCUCAAGGGAUUGGAUAAGGCCUACCCACAUUGCUGAGGGUGGAUCUUGUUACUCAGCCUACUAAUGCAAAUGCUUAUCUCUUCUGGAAACAUCCUCACAGAUACACCCAGAAAUUAUGUUUAACCAGCUAUCUGGGCAUCCCUUGGUCCAGCCAAGUUGACACAUGAAAUUACCGAUCACAAACACUUUGUUGCUUCAUUGCUUAUCAAAUAAAGCAACUCUUCUAUUGUC
This 302-nucleotide long non-coding RNA is filed under the name Homo sapiens (human). Its description in RNAcentral is "novel transcript". The record is from RNAcentral. Lineage: Eukaryota; Metazoa; Chordata; Mammalia; Primates; Hominidae.